This 548-nucleotide ribosomal RNA is filed under the name uncultured Glomeromycotina. RNAcentral describes it as "SSU rRNA". It matches the Rfam family "Eukaryotic small subunit ribosomal RNA", at positions 548 to 1098 of the family's 1831-position model. The record is from RNAcentral. Lineage: Eukaryota; Fungi; Glomeromycota.
UUGGAGGGCAAGUCUGGUGCCAGCAGCCGCGGUAAUUCCAGCUCCAAUAGCGUAUAUUAAAGUUGUUGCAGUUAAAAAGCUCGUAGUUGAAUUUCGGGAUCAGAUUGUCGGUCGUGCCUCGGUACGCACUGGCAUUAUUGGUUCCUACCUUCUGAAGAACCGCGAUGUCAUUAAUUUGGUGUCGUGGGGAAUCUGGACUGUUACUUUGAAAAAAUUAGAGUGUUUAAAGCAGGCGCACGCUUGAAUACAUUAGCAUGGAAUAAUGAAAUAGGACGUUUGAUUCUAUUUUGUUGGUUUCUAGGAUCGACGUAAUGAUUAAUAGGGAUAGUUGGGGGCAUUAGUAUUCAAUUGUCAGAGGUGAAAUUCUUGGAUUUAUUGAAGACUAACUACUGCGAAAGCAUUUGCCAAGGAUGUUUUCAUUAAUCAAGAACGAAAGUUAGGGGAUCGAAGACGAUCAGAUACCGUCGUAGUCUUAACCAUAAACUAUGCCGACUAGGGAUCGGAUGAUGUUAAUUUUUUAAUGACUCAUUCGGCGCCUUACGGGAAAC